RNAcentral lists this ribosomal RNA (436 nucleotides) under uncultured bacterium. Its description in RNAcentral is "partial 16S ribosomal RNA". It matches the Rfam family "Bacterial small subunit ribosomal RNA", at positions 29 to 507 of the family's 1533-position model. The record is from RNAcentral.
AUGAACGCUGGCGGCAUGCUUAACCCAUGCAAGUCGCACGGGAAGUGGUGUUUCCAGUGGCGAACGGGUGAGUAACGCGUAAGAACCUGCCCUUGGGAGGGGAACAACAACUGGAAACGGUUGCUAAUACCCCGUAGGCUGAGGAGCAAAAGGAGAAAUCCGCCCAAGGAGGGGCUCGCGUCUGAUUAGCUAGUUGGUGAGGUAAUAGCUUACCAAGGCGAUGAUCAGUAGCUGGUCCGAGAGGAUGAUCAGCCACACUGGGACUGAGACACGGCCCAGACUCCUACGGGAGGCAGCAGUGGGGAAUUUUCCGCAAUGGGCGAAAGCCUGACGGAGCAAUGCCGCGUGGAGGUGGAAGGCCUACGGGUCGUCAACUUCUUUUCUCGGAGAAGAAACAAUGACGGUAUCUGAGGAAUAAGCAUCGGCUAACUCUGUG